GACGAACGCUGGCGGCGUGCUUAACACAUGCAAGUCGAACGGAAAGGCCUCUUUCGGGGGGUACUCGAGUGGCGAACGGGUGAGUAACACGUGAGUAACCUGCCCUUGACUUUGGGAUAACUUCAGGAAACUGGGGCUAAUACCGGAUAGGAGCUCCUGCUGCAUGGUGGGGGUUGGAAAGUUUCGGCGGUUGGGGAUGGACUCGCGGCUUAUCAGCUUGUUGGUGGGUAGUGGCUUACCAAGGCUUUGACGGGUAGCCGGCCUGAGAGGGUGACCGGCCACAUUGGGACUGAGAUACGGCCCAGACUCCUACGGGAGGCAGCAGUGGGGAAUAUUGCACAAUGGGUGGAAGCCUGAUGCAGCAACGCCGUGUGCGGGAUGACGGCCUUCGGGUUGUAAACCGCUUUCGCUCAUGACGAAGCUUUGUGUGACGGUAGUGGGUAAAGAAGCACCGGCUAACUACGUG
Molecule: ribosomal RNA, 466 nt
Filed under: uncultured bacterium
Lineage: Bacteria
Description: partial 16S ribosomal RNA
Rfam family: Bacterial small subunit ribosomal RNA
Source: RNAcentral